AAACCACAAGGGGAGCCGAAGCUCCCCCAGAAGUGUUUGCGUGCUCUAUUUUUAUUAUUGGUUUCGGGCUUCUUGUUUUUGUUUAACGCCCUUGUCACCUGGUUAACCCAGUGUGACCCUCCCAAUCGGGAGCCAAGAGCAAACGGAUUGCUUUGGUCGCUGUGUUGCGAUGAUCAAUGAUCCAACCAGUUCAGGCUCUGCCUUAGGGCAGUU
RNAcentral lists this unclassified non-coding RNA (213 nucleotides) under Pseudomonas sp. NFIX28. RNAcentral describes it as "Pseudomonas sRNA P29". The record is from RNAcentral. Lineage: Bacteria; Pseudomonadati; Pseudomonadota; Gammaproteobacteria; Pseudomonadales; Pseudomonadaceae.